UACGUAGGGGGCAAGCGUUUGUCCGGAUUUAUUGGGCGUAAAGAGCGUGUAGGCGGCCAGAUAGGUCAGCUGUGAAAACUCGAGGCUCAACCUCGAGACGUCGGUUGAAACCAUCUGGCUAGAGUUCGGUAGGGGAGACUGGAAUUCCUGGUGUAGCGGUGAAAUGCGCAGAUAUCAGGAGGAACACCGGUGGCGAAGGCGGGUCUCUGGGCCGAUACUGACGCUGAGGAGCGAAAGCGUGGGGAGCGAACAGG
This 254-nucleotide ribosomal RNA is filed under the name uncultured bacterium. RNAcentral's name for it is "partial 16S ribosomal RNA". It matches the Rfam family "Bacterial small subunit ribosomal RNA", at positions 524 to 776 of the family's 1533-position model. The record is from RNAcentral.